CAGCCGGAACACCACUAACCCACGCACGCCAGCCAGCCGGAGCACCACUCACCCACCCACCCACACAUGCCAGCCAGCCAGAACAUCACUCACCCACCCACGCCAGACAACCAGCCAGCCAGAUCACCACACACCCACCCACGCCAGCCAGCAAGCCAGCAGGAGCUCAACUCACCCACGCACGACAGACAGACAGCCAGAGCCGGAGCACCACUCACCCAUGCACACCAGCCAGCCAGAGCCGGAGCACCACUCACCCACCCACGCACGACAGCCAGCAAGCCGGAGCACCACUCACCCACACACGCCAGCCAUCCAACCAGAGCACAAGUCACCCACCCACGCACACCAGCCAGCCCGUCGGAGCACCACUCACCCACCCACGGCAGCCAGCAAGCCAGCCGAAGCACCAAUCACCCACGCACACCAGGCAGCCAGCCGGAGCACCACUCACCCACCCAUGCACGCCAGCCACCCAGCCAUCCAGAGCACCACUCACCCACCCACGGCAGCCUGCCAGCUGGAGCAGAACUCACCCACCCACGCCAGCCAGCCAUCCAGCCGGAGCACCACUCACCCACGCACGCGAGCCAGCCAGCCAGCCCGAGCACCACUCACAGACCCAAGCACGCCAGCCUGCCAGUCGGAGCAGAACUCACCCACCCACGCCAGCCAGCAAGCCAGCCGGAGCACCAGUCACCCAUGCACGCGAGCCAAGCAGCAAGCAAGACCACCACUCACAGAUGCACGGAUGCGAGCCAGCGAGCCGGAGCACCACUCACCAACACAUGCAUGCCAGCCAGGCAGUCAGCCGGAGCACCACUCACCAACGCACUCCAGCCAGCGAGCCGGAGCACCACUCACCUACCCACGCCAGCCACCCAGCGAGCCGGAGCACCACUCGCCCACGCCAGCCAGCUGGCCGGAGCACAACUCAGCCAGGCACGCCAGCCAACCAGGCAGCCGGAGAACCUCUCACCCACCCACGCACGCCAGCAUGGAAGCCGGAGCACCACGCACCCACGCAUGCCAGCCAGCCGGAGAACCA
RNAcentral lists this long non-coding RNA (1048 nucleotides) under Numida meleagris (helmeted guineafowl). Its description in RNAcentral is "lncRNA (ENSNMEG00000001466.1)". Lineage: Eukaryota; Metazoa; Chordata; Aves; Galliformes; Numididae. The record is from RNAcentral.